UGAACCUAGGUGGGAUUAGCUAGUUGGUGAGGUAAUGGCUCACCAAGGCGACGAUCCCUAGCUGUUCUGAGAGGAUGAUCAGCCACACUGGGACUGAGACACGGCCCAGACUCCUACGGGAGGCAGCAGUGGGGAAUAUUGCACAAUGGGGGAAACCCUGAUGCAGCCAUGCCGCGUGUGUGAAGAAGGCCUUCGGGUUGUAAAGCACUUUCAGUAGGGAGGAAAGGUUGUAAGUUAAUACCUUGCAGCUGUGACGUUACCUACAGAAGAAGGACCGGCUAACUCCGUGCCAGCAGCCGCGGUAAUACGGAGGGUCCAAGCGUUAAUCGGAAUUACUGGGCGUAAAGCGUGCGCAGGCGGUUUGUUAAGCGAGAUGUGAAAGCCCCGGGCUCAACCUGGGAAUUGCAUUUCGAACUGGCAAACUAGA
This 427-nucleotide ribosomal RNA is filed under the name Shewanella decolorationis. Its description in RNAcentral is "bacterial SSU rRNA". It matches the Rfam family "Bacterial small subunit ribosomal RNA", at positions 226 to 645 of the family's 1533-position model. The record is from RNAcentral. Lineage: Bacteria; Pseudomonadati; Pseudomonadota; Gammaproteobacteria; Alteromonadales; Shewanellaceae.